This 22-nucleotide microRNA is filed under the name Macacine alphaherpesvirus 1. RNAcentral's name for it is "hbv-miR-B19-5p". Its record names the gene hbv-miR-B19-5p. Lineage: Duplodnaviria; Heunggongvirae; Peploviricota; Herviviricetes; Herpesvirales; Orthoherpesviridae. The record is from miRBase by way of RNAcentral.
GUGGGCGCACUCGAUCCCGGCU